UACGUAGGGGGCAAGCGUUAUCCGGAUUUACUGGGUGUAAAGGGAGCGUAGACGGCAGUGCAAGUCUGGAGUGAAAGGCGGGGGCUCAACCCCCGGACUGCUCUGGAAACUGUACGGCUGGAGUGCAGGAGAGGUAAGUGGAAUUCCUAGUGUAGCGGUGAAAUGCGUAGAUAUUAGGAGGAACACCAGUGGCGAAGGCGGCUUACUGGACUGUAACUGACACUGAGGCUCGAAAGCGUGGGGAGCAAACAGG
This 253-nucleotide ribosomal RNA is filed under the name uncultured bacterium. Its description in RNAcentral is "partial 16S ribosomal RNA". It matches the Rfam family "Bacterial small subunit ribosomal RNA", at positions 524 to 776 of the family's 1533-position model. The record is from RNAcentral.